RNAcentral lists this long non-coding RNA (498 nucleotides) under Fukomys damarensis (Damara mole-rat). RNAcentral describes it as "lncRNA (ENSFDAG00000027286.1)". Lineage: Eukaryota; Metazoa; Chordata; Mammalia; Rodentia; Bathyergidae. The record is from RNAcentral.
ACUUUUAUUCUAGGAAGACAGUUAAACCCUGUGUGUAGUUUUCACAAAAUUCAGUUCCAGUUUGUCCUAGUUUCCUUGGUCAUGGUGAUUUAUUAGGUGGAACCCUGCACUAUGUCAUCAAAUGAGAACAACUGUUGAAAAAUAUCCUGCCAGAUUUGAUUUAGGCCAACUAUUAAUGACAGAGAUGCAGCAUAGCUGAGAAAAGGAUAUAAAACAAGUUUCAAGAUUUAUUUAACUUAAAUUUCAAUCAAAUGAAGAAGUCAUUAUGAAACAUGAAUCAUACAGGUAUUGGGCAGAAGCAAGAGAAUAUAUUGAGCCAUGCUGGGUGAUGUGGUUGGACGCUUUGCAUUUCGAAGGAAGUAAGAACGGCUUGUUAGACCAUCUUCAAAUGCCAUUAUUGUGGAAAGUGGCAAUAGAAAUCCCCAAGAAGAUGCAUAUUUAACUUUUAAAAUAACUCUAGUAACAUUAUUUGACAUUUUUCCUUAAAAAAAAAAUCAC